UUGCACGGCGCGCUCGGCGGUGAGCAGCAUGAGUCUCCACGGGAAAGUGGCUCUGGUCACCGGCGGCGCGCAAGGCAUCGGAAGAGCCGGGGUGGAACAUCUCCUGGAGAACGGGGCGAAGGUUGCACUGGUAGACCUGAACCAAUCUGUGGGAGAGGAAUGUAAAAGCGAUCUAGAUGGCCAGUUUGGAGAGGAUAAUUGUAUUUUUAUCCAAUGUGACGUGACUGACUCUGGGAAACUUAGAGAUGCCUUUCAAAACACAGUAGAGAAGUUUGGUCGGUUGGAUAUUGUCAUCAAUAAUGCUGGAAUCAACAAUGAGAAGAACUGGGAAAAGACCAUUGAAGUAAAUUUGACAUCUGUCAUACAGGGGACAUAUUUAGCACUAGAACACAUGAGUAAAGAGUAUGGAAAAGAUGGAGGGGUUAUCAUCAACGUUUCAUCUAUGGCAGCUUUUCUGCAUUCUCCUCACCAGCCAGUAUACACAGCAACAAAGCAUGGGGUGAUUGGAUUUUCCAGAGCCAUUGCAGCUGACCGUGUUUGGACACGUUUUGUUGUCGGCAGGACGCAUCUGAACAGGGCAAUUAUGGAGUGAGGAUCAACACACUGUGCCCAGCCUUCGUGGACACCCAACUCCUUCGCACUGUGGAGCACGAGGAAACAAUGGGCAAGUUUGUCAAGUACAAAGAUGAAUUCAAGCAACGGAUGGACAAGUAUGGCGUUCUAAAACCAUCUCUGAUUGCAGAAGGAAUGCUGCGAAUGAUAACAGAUGAAAGCCUAAACGGAGCCGUGAUGAAGAUCACCUGUUCUAAAGGCAUUCACUUCCACACCUAUGAACCUCUCUCAGCUUGAGAGCGAUGCCUUCAUCAAACAUGUUCGUCUUUUUUCUCUCCUCUCCGUUCUUCAUCGGAACAUUUAUUUGAUUGAAGUCUAGUGCAGGCACCUCAAACCGCAAGUUUAAGACACAAACCUAUGGCGCAUUUAAGAAAUAAAAAGGGACGGUAUAAGUUUUCCUAUCUAUCAUUUGAGUUUUGAAAACCAAAAAGGACUGCAUACUGGUAUUCGGGCCUCUUUUUUUUUUUUUUUUUUGUCAUGCCCUUGAACAUUAAUUUGAAUGCUGUAAACUGCUACUGUAAAUGGUUUUGAGAAAAGAUAAUCAUAUUUAUUAAUAAUUCAGUUAUUGUUUUCAAGUCAAUUGUACCUCAAUAUAUAUCAAUGAUUAAUUUUUUUGUAUAGUUUUUGUAUAAUAUUUUAGAUAUAUAUCUUUGUGGCAAAGAGAGUAUCUUUUAUUAUGUAUACCUUAUGUAGAAAUCAACCAAUAAACUUCUAAAAAU
Carassius gibelio (silver crucian carp) is the source of this 1331-nucleotide RNA transcript. It is a transcript of the gene named 15-hydroxyprostaglandin dehydrogenase, with no coding region annotated. Lineage: Eukaryota; Metazoa; Chordata; Actinopteri; Cypriniformes; Cyprinidae. The record is from RefSeq and is a predicted model, not a curated record. The transcript is spliced from 7 exons.